This 1588-nucleotide long non-coding RNA is filed under the name Olea europaea subsp. europaea. The record is from RNAcentral. Lineage: Eukaryota; Viridiplantae; Streptophyta; Magnoliopsida; Lamiales; Oleaceae.
AUUUGGUUGGGCUUUAGUGUGUGUUUGGGUUUUAAUUUGGAUUUGGAUUAAUUGAAUUCCUUGUUGGGUUUGGAUAUUUUGUUUAUUGGGCUUCUUGUCUUUUGGCCAUGUGUAUAGGGGGUAUUAAAGAAAAGGGUCUUUUUGGUGGGGAAAGUGAUACGUUGCGUGCUUGAUGAGUUGCUGAAGAUAGGCAGGAAAGAUGGGGGAUGUGUUGUUGGUUUUGGCGUAUGCCCAGUUUUUGGGAUUGAAAAUUUGGUUUGAUGCUCAGUUUAGGAUGCAAAUUUCAUUUGAUGCCCGUUUAACGGGAUUUGAAAAUUUCGUUUGUUUGCCCAGUUUAUGGGAUUAGAAAUUUCGUUUGGUAUUUGUCCAGUCUAUCUGGAGUUUGGAAUUUGGCAUAGUCAGUUCUUGAAAUUGGUAUGUCAAGUUCAUUUGGAAUUUGAAAUUUGCAUCCGUUCGGUUUAGCUGAGAUUGUGUGGUUUCGUUGAUUAUCUGCAGUUUUGCAUUAUUACCCUAUCUUUCGUUGUUAUCAUUGCAGUUUGUUAACAUCUUCAUGAAAUCCAAUUCGGUUUAUGGUUUUCGGCUUUUCGCUUUUUGUUUGUCAAAUUCCCGUUGCUUCUUGCUGUAGCAUCGUGAGUUCGAGGGAGGAUGUUAAUGUAAUAAGUAGAUUAGGUUAAGGGUAGUUUAGACUUUUCUCUUUCCUUAGUUUUGUACUAUAUAAACCAAUGUAAUCUCAUUUGUUAGCCCGAAGUUUGGAGGCCGCCCUUUUCUCCAUUCUUUACUGUCGUUUGCUUCUUCUCUUUUGUUUGUUUGUUUGUUUAUCACUUUGGUUUGUUGUGCAAAACUAAGGAAAGAUAAAAGUCUAAACUACCCUUAACCUAACCUACUUAUUACAUUAACAUCCCCCUUCGAACUCACGAUGCUAUAGCAAGAAGCAACGGGAGUUUGACAAACAAAAAGUGAAAAGCCGAAAACCAUAAAUCGAAUUGGACUUUAUGAAGAUGUCAAUAAACUGUAAUGAUAACAACGAAAGAUAGGGUAAUAAUGCAGAACUGCAGAUAACCAACGAAACCACACAAUCUCAACUAAACCAAAUGGAUGCAAAUUUCAAAUUAAAACCCACACACACACUAAAGCCCAACCAAAUAACUUUUGCCCAAUUAAAUCAACUGGCCCAAUCUAUAUUUUCCAGCCACCCAAAUUCCAAAAUCCAAUUGGUCCAUGACGUAUACAGUUUCAUGUAUGCCUAGGAACUAACCAAUGGAAAGAAACAAUAUCAUUAAGCUGGCCAAUAUCCACAUACUCAAGGACCCAAAACCAAUCUACAGCCCAUAGUCACAAAACGUGAUAAUGUGGUUCGUCUAACUGUUGACUCCUUGACCAUCUACUUCUGAAAAAUGAAAUAUAUUUUUUAGUUUAAUAUGUAAUAGUUACUCUGCAAAUCUUCAUUUUUCAGAUUACAGGAGAUCCCAUGUUAUUGUUAAUGUAUAUCAUUUUUCAGUCUAAUACGUAAUAGUUACUCUGCAAAUCUUCAUUUUUCAGAGUAUAGGAGAUCCCAUGUUGUUGUUAAUACAUAUGAACUUGAUCAUGA